Molecule: long non-coding RNA, 291 nt
Filed under: Jatropha curcas
Lineage: Eukaryota; Viridiplantae; Streptophyta; Magnoliopsida; Malpighiales; Euphorbiaceae
Description: long non-coding RNA (JCUR_LNC000272)
Source: RNAcentral
GUCAUGGCCCUUGACAUGGCUGAAUAUUGUCCGCUUUGGGCCCUUCCGUACGAGGUCACCCUCACGGUUUUAUUCUUGGGGGAAAUGGGAAACUUCCCAGGAGGUCACCCAUCCUAGGAUUUCCGUUAAGCGAGCACGUUUAACCCUGGAGUUCUUCCAACUCUCCAGCCAUUUCACCACCAAAACGCGUCCAACCAUUCAAGGCACCACCCCUCUUAUGUACAUCACUUACUCCUCGCACUUAACCGAUGUGGGAUUCGCCUAGGUGCACUGUAGGCUUAGAUCCCUCAC